Molecule: long non-coding RNA, 20524 nt
Filed under: Manihot esculenta (cassava)
Lineage: Eukaryota; Viridiplantae; Streptophyta; Magnoliopsida; Malpighiales; Euphorbiaceae
Description: long non-coding RNA (MESC_LNC010749)
Source: RNAcentral
GAUUUUGUAAGGAGAGUACUAGAUGGUUGUGGUUUCUCAGCAGGAAUUGGAAUUACUGUUCUUCUUGAUAAAUCUCUUAUUACUAUCCUAGAUAACAAGCUGGGAAUGCAUAAACUGUUGCAAGAAAUGGCUCAUGAAAUUGUUCGCCAAGAAUCUGUUAAAGAGCUGGGCAAGCGCAGUAGAUUGUGGAGAGCUUGUGAUGUCUAUCAAGUCUUAACAAAAAAUCUGGUAAGAGCCAUAUUCAUUCUUGAUUUUUAUGCUUGCAUGUAUUAUAUUUAUGUAUCUGUCAAAAUAAACUGAGUACAUCAGUGUAACCUUGCUUUAUAUAUAUGCUCAUCCGUGAUCUUCAGGGAACUGAAAAUGUUGAAGGGAUAUGGUUAGACACAUCUAAAAUGAGAGAAAUGGAUGUGAGUUCAAGAGCCUUUGUGAGGAUGGAUAAUCUUAGAUUGCUCAAAAUCUACAAUUCUAGAGUUAGAAAUAAUUGUAAACUGCACCUUCCUCGUGGCCUUAAGUUCCUUUCUGAUGAGUUGAGGUACAUCCAUUGGGAUGGAUACCCUCUGAGCUCUAUGCCAUCCAAUUUUCAGGUGGAGAACCUUGUUGAGCUAAACCUGGCUUACAGCAAAGUUAAACAGCUAUGGACAGGAGUACAGGUACGCGAUAAUAUUUUUCCUGAUUCCCUUUUUACAUCAUUUCCUUUUAAAAGUGCAGAUUAGUAUGGGGCAUGUGCUAAUUUGUUGUAGCCUGUUGUAUUGUUAUUGCAGAAUCUUGCAAGUUUGAAAGAUAUUAACCUUAGCAAUUCUGAGCACUUAAAUACUUUCCCUGAUCUCUCACUGGCAAAGAAUCUUGAGAGAGUAAAUUUUGAGUUCUGUACUAGCUUGGUAGAAGUUCCCUCAUCUAUUCAGUUUCUAGAGAAGCUUACUGAUUUGAAUAUGAGAUGCUGCACAUGCCUUGAGAGUUUUCCUACAGGUAUUAAUUUGAGAUCACUUAAGACUCUUUACCUUUCCGGCUGUUCAAAUCUUAGGAAGUGUCCUGAGAUAGGAAAGAACAUAGUGUAUUUAAACUUAAAUGAGACUGCAAUAGAAGAACUUCCGGAAUCAAUUGGCCAUCUCAGUGAUCUCAUAGCAUUGAAUUUGAAGGAUUGUAAGCAAAUCAGGCAUCUUCCAAGAAGCAUGCGUUUGUUGAAAUCCCUUGUGAUUAUUGAUCUCUCUGGCUGCUCAAAUAUCAUUAGGUUUCCCGAUUUUGCAACACGUAUAGAAUUCUUGUACUUGGGUGAAACUGCAAUAGAAGAACUUCCCUCUUCAAUUGGUUGUCUCUCAAGGCUCUCUCGUUUGGAUCUAACAAACUGCAAAAGGCUUAAGAACCUUCCUUCUACCAUUUUUAAGUUGGCAUCUCUUGAAAAUCUUAUCAUCUCUGGCUGCUCAAGUAUUACUGAGAUUCCAGAGAUGUCGAGUAAUAUAAGGAAGUUGUUUAUAGAUGGGACAUCAAUAGAAGAAAUUCCCUCAUCAAUAGAGUGUUGUUUUGAUCUUGUUGAGUUGAACCUGCAAAACUGCACAAGAUUUCGUAUUCUUCCAAGCGGUAUUUGUAGGUUGAAAUCUCUGCAAAAGCUUAAUCUCUCAGGUUGCUCCAUGUUUGAGAAUUUUCCAGAAGUUUUGGAGGUUAUGGGAUCAUUGAGGUAUCUAUAUUUAGAUGGAACAGCCAUACAAGAGUUACCUUCACCAAUUGAAAAUUUGAAAGGGCUUACCUGCUUGGAAUUAAGGAACUGCAGAAAUCUACAGGGAUUGCUGGAAGGAAUCUCUGGUGUAAAAAAUUUCAGCAGAUUACCUGAAAGGUGGGUGGAUAUUCAAUAUCUACGAAAGCUCAACGUAAAUAAUUGCAGUUUAUCACAUGUGCCUUAUUGCAUUGGCUGCUUAUCCUCACUAGAAGCAUUAGAUCUAAGUGGAAACCCUUUUACAUACAUGCCUGAAAGCAUUAGUAAGCUCUUUGAGCUUCAGUACCUUGGUUUAAGAAAUUGCCAGCAGCUAAUAUCAAUACCAGAUCUUCCGCCCCAGCUUACAAAAUUAGAUGCACAUUUUUGCGUUUCGCUGAGAUCAGUAUCACUUCAUUCCAAUGGAGCCGAGGGAAACAUUUUUGAUUUCCAUUUCACUAAUUGUGACAAGUUAACUUCAGUUGCAAGGCACAACAUCAUGGCAUAUGCUCUACGAAAAAUUGAGCUGUACUCCAAAAAACUGCAUUGUCAGGUCUUUCACUCCUCUAAAUUUUUCCCUUUGUUCUUUUCAAUUGACCAUCUCCCUUAUUAAAAUUGCUGCUUUUUCUUAUUUGUGUGCAGAUGCCUUCUGUGUUAGCUGGGGAAUCUAGCUUUUGCAUUCCUGGAAGAAAAAUUCCGAAGUGGAUUUGCCAUCAGAGUGAGGGAUUUUCAACGACAGUUCGACUGCCUUCACAGUGGAGUAAUGGUGAGUUCCUGGGUUUCAUUCUCUGUGCAGUUAUUGCAUUCAAUGACUCCAACAUUGACAACGGUUUCCAAGUGAAAUGUGAAUACCAUUUCAAAGAUGAGCAUGGCAACUGCAGUAAUCUCCAUGGUCAUAUCAGUGGCUGGUAUGGUCGAAGAUAUCUCUGGAAUUACCGCGAAAUCCAAAACGGGGGAGUAUAUCCCAUGUUCUUUGGGUAUGAUCCUUGUGUGGAUGUUAAGAAAAAUGCUCAGUUUCCUAAACACACACAGCUUCUGGUUGAAUUCCAUCCUGAAGAUAUGGAUGGCCAUCCUUUACAUUGUUGCAAGGUUGUCAAUUGCGGGGUACGUAUAUUAUAUGCUGAAGAGGAGAGAUUAUGUCGAUGUUCUUCUCUCCAUCAACAGAUUAAGGAAGCAUUAUCCAAAACAAGGGAUGAAAUUUGCUCCUAUGAAGAUCAAAAUCUAUGGGAGAGCUUUCUGGAACACAAGAAAACCAAAGUUGUUGGGACAAGCUGCAAAAUGUACCAAUGUUUGCUCUGUGAAAGUCACGACUUUGGGUGUUUCGAUGUGGUCGAUGAACAAGAUAUUGAUACUCUUGCAUCUUUAUGAGAAAUUUCAGAUUUAGGCAAUUGUAUGACAUGAAAAAAGAAAAAAUGAGAAUAAGGUGGAGAGAGAGAAAAAAAAAAAGAAGAAUCUAAUACCAGUGGUCAAUUUUAUUUUAAUAUUAUUAAUAUACAUUUCUCCAUCUUCUUCUCUUCCCUUUCCCCCUUUCUCUCUCAGAAAUGACCAGUUUAGAAGCUUCCUUCCUAUCAUCAAUAAGCAAAACCCGUGAACUUUCCAUGCAUUUUCAUAAAUUUGGCUACAACCCUAAGGUGCCUAUAUAUAUAUAAAUCAAUGACCAAGGGUGCAUAUGCUUCUAAGGAAAUUUUAUAAGAGAAAAAAAAUAAGUGUUAAUGAGAUAUAUAGCACAUCUUUAAUAUCUAGUGAUGGGUUGUUUUGGCAAGCGAAACUCUGAAAAUAAACAAAACCCAUAUCAAACACCUGCCAAAGGAACUAAUCCUCCUCGUCAAGCUCAUUAUGGAGGAGCUAGAAAGGCAAAAGUCGCAGCAAACAUAGCCAUGGUGUUGGAGCAGUUACUGCAGGUGUUACUGCUGCAGUCGCUGCAAGUUCAGCCGCUUCUAGUGGUGCUGGUGCUUGUGGUGGAGGUGGUUGCGCCGUUUCAGGCUGUUGAGGAUUGUCUUUGCAACAAUUCAAUUUCUUCUUUAUAUAUUUGUUAAUUACAUAUCAUCUCAUGAGAUUCUAUUAAUUUGUCAUGUUUUUACUUGAAUUUCAGAAAUAAAAAUUAUAGAAGAAAAUAAAAGGAUUGGUUGUAAGAAAUAUAUAUUGUUGUAUAUAUUCUGUGUUUAAUAUAUAUAUUUGAUUAUGGAAUUGUUAUAGUAAUAAUUUUAUUUUUAUUUUUAGCAAUAAAGUUAAUUACAACAAAGAUUUUAUAUUGAUAUAGUAAUAAUUUUAUUUUUAGCCUUAAAGUUAAUUAGUUAUUAUGACUAAAAUAAAAAGUAUUAGGAGACCAAUGAUUAUAUAUAAAGGAUAUCAUAGAAUUUUAAAAAUAAAAAUCUUAACAAAUAAUUGAUUUUUAAAUUGAUCCCUAAUUAUUACUAUUAAUUUAUAAAAAAAUUAGUUUAUAAAUAAUUGUAAUAUUAGUGCAUUAAUUUAAAAAGUAUAGCAACUUAUUUGUAAAUAAGUAUACUGCUUAAGGACCAAUUUAUAAAUUUAUGUGUGCUUAAUCAUAAAUAAUAAUUAUAAUAGGGAUAAAUUAGUAAAAGUUAAUAAGUGAAUUGUAAAAAAAAAUAAAAAUAUAAACUAAAGGACUAAACUGUAACUUUUACUAAACUUAGUUUAUUCUUUUAUAUUAAAAAUAUAAUAAAUGAAAUUUUAGUCAUUUUUAUACAAUUAACCGUAAUUUUAACUGUAAAUCUAAUGAUAAUUUAUAUGUUUAUUUAAAUGUUAAAAUGUCAAUUGGUAGAUUUUAAAAACAUAUAGAUUACAACAAAAUAAUUUAUUAAACUAUAAAGACAACUGAAAUUUAUCUAAUUAAUAAUUAUAAAAUCUAAAAAAAAUUUAAAAAACAUAUAAAAACUACAUUAUAACGUUGACGGUAAUAAUGCAGAUACCAAUAAGACGAAAGAAGCUAGAUAAUAAAUGGAUUGUUUCUUACCAUCCAUAUCUCUUAACAAUAUGCAACUAUCACAUAUAUGUGCUAGCUUAAAGGAAGUUAAAUGUUUGUAUAAGUACAUCUAUAAAGGACAUGAUAAGAUCUCAAUUUGCAUGUCCCAUGAAGAUGAACCAAUGGAUGAAAUACAAUAAUUUCAAGAUACAAGAUGAGUGUCAGCUCAAGAAGCGAUAUGGAAAAUAUUUGAAUUUGGGCUCAAUGAAAUAAACCCUUCAGUUUUAAAUCUACAGUUACACUUGCCAAAUUAGCAAAUGGUAUCAUUUUAGAAAAUCAGAAUCUUAAGCAUGUUAUGCAAUGGGAUCAUAUAUCAAGAACAAUGUUAACAAAGUUCUUAAGAACCACUUGAUGAAGAAGCAAGAGGACUAUUGUAUAGGGAAUUUUCAGAACAGUAUGUAUGGAGUCUAAACAAAAAUCAAGGCAAGUAAUAGGUUGUGUAAAUGCAGUGAAUCCGAUAGAGGGUGAAAGAUACUAUUUGAGAUUGCUUUUAAACUAUAUAAGAGGUCCAAAGUCAUUUGACGAUCUAUUAACAAUAGAAAAUGUCCAAUGCUCGAUUUAAAGAGUCAGCUAUUAGAAGAGGACUACUUGAGUCAGAUAAUAGUGCAUCUGAAUGUAUGAGUGAAGCAGUCACACUCCAGAUGCCAUAAGAAUUGAGGAAAUUAUUUGUAAUUAUAUAUAUUGUAAGCCUGCUGAUGUGAGAGGAUUAUGGGAUAAUUACGGGAUGAUUACUUUGAUGCCAUAUAUGAGAAUUUUAAUAGAAUGUACCAAGGCUCAAUGCAGAAAUAGAUUUCUUUAACAUUGAAAAGUAUAAACUAUCAUUUACAGAGCAUGGAAAAAGAUAUAAAGAAUUAUAAUUUGUCAAAUAUAGAAGAAGAUCAAACACAUCAAUCAAUCAAAAACUCAAGAGAAAUAACAGAUGAGAUGGCUAUAGAAAUACUUGAGGAAGAUAUUAAUGUGGUACAUAAAUUAAAUAUUGAGCAACUCCAUGCAUAUAAAAUCAUAUUGCAAACAGUGGACUUAAACACUAGCGGGGUCUUUUUUGUGGAUGGAUAUGGAGGGACAGAAAAGAUAUUUUUAUAUCGUGCAUUACUCGCAUAUGUAAGAUCUAUAGGAAUGAUAGCACUUGUCAUAGCAACAUCUAGGAUAAUAGCGUUUAUUAUGCUUGGAGGAAGAACUACACACUCACGAUUUAGUAUACCAUUAAGCCCAAUAGAGUCGAACAUGUGUAGUAUAUCUAAGCAAAGCGGACAGACAGAAUUAUUAUGCAUUGCAAAAUUGAUUAUAUGGAAUGAAGCACUGAUGGCAAAAGGACUAGCAAUAGAAAUAGUUGAUAGAAGCUUGAGAGAUAUAAUGGAUAAUUCUCAACCAUUCGGAGAGAAGGUAAUAGUGUUUAGUGGAGAUUUCAGGUAGGUAUUACCGGUGGUACCUAAAGCCUUAAGACAAGAAAAUGUUAGUGUAAGUCUCAUGAAAUCUUAUUUAUGGAGUAAAAUGGAAGUGCUAAAAUUAACAACCAAUAUGAGGGCUAGAACAUAUCAAUAUUUUGGAGAAUUCAUACUCAGAGUUGGUAAUAGAGAAGAGGUAGAAACAAAAGAAUGUAAUAUAAGAAUACCUGAAGAGAUGGUAGUGAAGUAUGAAAAUGAAAAUAACUGUAAAGAAGUAUUAGGUGAUGCAAUAUAUUCAUCAUUGGAGAAAAAUGCUAGAUUGGCAUAGUACAUGACAAAUCGUGUAAUCCUAACAACAAAAAAUGAAUAUGUAGAUAGUUUUAAUGAAAAGAUGAUAAAUAUAUUCUUUAGUAAAAGCGAUACUUAUACCAAUUUUGAUGAAACAAUAGAUAAUACAAAUAACUAUUACCAAGAGGAAUUCUUAAAUAUUUUAUUACCGAAUGGAUUGCCUUCGCACAAGUUAGAAUUAAAAGUGAAUUGUGCAAUGAUACUGUAAAAAAACCUAGAUCCUUCAAAUGGCCUAUAUAAUGGAUCAAGAAUGGUGUAUAAAAAUUUUAGAAAAAAUAUAAUUCAUGCAAAGAUAAUAGUAAGACGUGUUGAUAAGCAAAUUCUAUUACUAUUUUUACCUGCAGAAAAUAAAGAUGUCCUUUUCGUUUUAAAAGAAUACAAUUUCCUAUUUGUCUAUGUUUUGCAACGACGAUAAAUAAAGCUCAGAGAUAAAUAAUAUUAAACUUUGGUAUGUAUUUGAUACAUGAUGUUUUCUCUCCUAAACAAUUAUAUAUCGCACGAUCAAGGGAAGUAUUAAUUUCAAUUAUAAAAAUCAUUAUAAAGUCAGACAAUAAAAAAGAAAAAAGCAAAAAUGUACGAAGAACGUAGCAUAUAAAUAAGUGUUAUUAUCAUAAAAGUGAAAGAAUAUAAAAUAUAUAUUUAAAUAUAAACAAAUAUUUAGUAAUUAUAUUAAAAUAAUAUUAACUAUUAUAAUAAUUUUAAUAAUGGAGUAAACAUAUAUUUAAAAGUCAAUUGCUUGAUUACAAUAAUAACACGAAAGCAAAAAUCAUUAAAUGUGAUGUGAUUUUAUAUUUUAAUAUUAAUAUUAAUAUUUUAUUAUUUUUUAUGAUAAUUCUUCAACAAUUAUAUUAUAAAAAAAUGAAUGUAUUCAAUGAAUAUAAACAACGUGUAAAUCACGUUAAUUAAAACUAAUUAUUACAGAAGUGCUUUAUAAAAGUGGGAACUGAAUUAUUUAUGUUGUUAAACCUAAAUAUGGGCAGGUUAUCGUGGACCAAAUUGAAACAGAAUGGGUUAAAUUUAAAAUAUUGGUGAAUUAAUUUUGGUCAAUUAAUUUUAAUUUAUUUAUUUAUUCAUAUGCCAAUGAUAUAUUCAAUAAAUAUUAUUAUUUAAACUAAUAAGAAAUGUACUAUGUUAGUAUAUUAUUAAUGGUAAAAUAUAAUAUAGUCUCUAUAUUUAGAUAAAUUCUUCACUUUAGUCUUUAAAGUUUAAAAACACACAUAUUUAGUCGUUAACAUUUGAAUUAACCUAUAAUUUAGACUCUGCUAUUAGACUUACGGUUAAAAUGAUGCUAAUUUCAGAAAAAAAUAAGUUAAAUACCCUUUAUUAUAUAUUAUAAAUUAAUUUCUAAAUAUUAUACUUAUUUGUAAAUAUCUAUAUUUCUAUAAAUUAGUUCCUAAAUAUUUCAAUUGUUUAUGACUAAGUCCUUAUAAUUUAAAAAUUGAUUUCUAAAAUAUUUUUAUUGUUUAUAAAUAAUUUUAAAAAUAUUUUUUAAAUUGAUCCCUAAUUAUUACUAUUAAUUUAUAAAAAUAUUAGUUUAUAAAUAAUUGUAAUAUUAGUGCAUUAAUUUAAAAAGUAUAGCAACUUAUUUGUAAAUAAGUAUACUACUUAAGCACCAAUUUAUAAAUUUAUAUGUGCUUACUCAUAAAUAAUCAUUACAAUAGGGAUAAAUUAGUAAAAGUAUUAAAGUGAAUUGUAAAAAAAAUAAAAAUAUAAACUAAAGGACUAAACUGUAACUUUUACUAAACUUAGUUGAUUCUUUUGCAUUAAGAAUAUAAUAAAUGAAAUGUUAGUCGUUUUUAUACAAUUAACCGUAAUUUUAACUGUAAAUCUAAUGGUAAUUUGUAUGUUUAUUUAAAUGUUAAAAACUCAAUUGGUAGAUUUUAAAAACACAGACUACAACAAAAGAAUUCACUAAACUAUAAAAACAUAACUGUAAUUUAUCUUAUUAAUAAUUAUACAAUGUAAAAGUUUUUUAAAAAAUAUAUAAAAAUUAUAUUAUAACAUUGACUGUAAUAAUGCAGAUAUCAAUAAGACGAAAGAAGCUAGAUAAUAAAUGAAUUGUUCCUUACAAUCUAUAUCUCUUGACAAUAUACAACUGUCACAUAAAUGUUGAGAUAUGUGCUAACUUGAAGGGAGUUAAAUGUUUGUAUAAGUACAUCUAUAAAGGACAUGAUAGGAUCUCAGUUUGCAUGUCCCAUGAAGAUGAACCAAUUGAUGAAAUACAAUAAUUUCAAGAUACAAGAUGGGUGUCAGCUCAAAAAGCUAUACGGAGAAUAUUUAAAUUUAAGCUCAAUGAAAUAAACCCUUCAGUUUUAAAUCUACAGAUACACUUGCCAAAUUAGCAAAUGGUAUCAUUUUAGAAAAAUCAGAAUCUUAAGCAUGUUAUGCAAUGGGAUCAUAUAUCAAGAACAAUGUUAACAGAGUUCUUAAGAACAUGCUCACUUAAUGAAGAAGCAAGAGGACUAUUGUAUAGGGAAUUUUCAUAACAGCAUGUAUGGAGUCUAAACAGAAAUCAAGGCAAGUAAUAGGUUGUGUAAAUGCAGCGAAUCCGAUAGAGGGUGAAAGAUACUAUUUGAGAUUGCUUUUAAACUAUAUAAGAGGUCCAAAAUUAUUUGACGAUCUAUUAACAAAAGAAAAUGUUCAAUGCCCGAUUUAAAGAGUCAACUAUCAGAAGAGGACUACUUGAGUAAGAUAAUAGUGCAUCUGAAUGUAUGAGUGAAGCAGUCACAUUCCAGAUGCCAUAAUAAUUGAGGAAAUUAUUUGCAAUUAUAUAUAUUGUGAGCCUGCUGAUGUGAGAGGAUUAUGGGAUAAUUACUUUGAUGCCAUAUAUGAGAAUUUUAAUAGAAUGUACCAAGACUCAAUGCAGAAAUAGAUUUCUUUGACAUUGAAAAGUAUAAACUAUCAUUUAUAGAGCAUGAGGAAAGAUAUAAAUAAUUAUGAUUUGUCAAAUAUAAAAGAAGAUAAAACACAUCAAUCAAUCAAAAACUCAAGAGAAAUAACAAAUGAGAUGGCUAUAGAAAUACUUGAGGAAGAUAUUAAUGCAGUACAAAAAUUAAAUAUUGAGCAACUCCAUGCAUAUAAAAUCAUAUUGUAAAGGGUGGACUUAAACACUAGCAGGGUCUUUUUUGUGGAUGGAUCUGGGAGACAGAAAAGAUAUUUUUAUAUCGUGCAUUACUCGCAUAUGUAAGAUCUAUAGGAAUGAUAACACUUGCCAUAGCAACAUCUGGGAUAGUAGCGUCUAUUAUGCCUGGAGGAAGAAUUGCACACUCACGAUUUAGUAUACCAUUAAGCCCAACAGAGUCGAGCAUGUCUGGUAUAUCUAAGCAAAGUGGAUAGAUAGAAUUAUUAUGCACUACAAAAUUGAUUAUAUGGAAUGAAGCACUGAUGGCAAAAGGACUAGCAAUAGAAAUAGUUGAUAAAAGCUUGAGAGAUAUAAAGGAUAAUUCUCAACCAUUCGGAGAGAAGGUAAUAGUGUUUGGUGGAGAUUUCAAGUAGGUAUUAUCGGUGGUACCUAAAGCCUCGAGACAAGAAAAUGUUAGUGUAAGCCUCAUGAAAUUUUAUUUAUGGAGUAAAAUGGAAGUGCCAAAAUUAACAACCAAUAUGAGGGCUAGAACAGAUCAAUAUUUUGGAGAAUUCAUACUUAGAGUUGGUAAUGGAGAAGAGGUAGAAACAAAAGGAUGCAAUAUAAGAAUACCUGAAGAGAUGGUAGUGAAGUAUGAAAAUGAAAAUAACUGUGAAGAAGUAUUAGGUGAUGCAAUAUAUCUAUCAUUGGAGAAAAAUGCUAGAUUAGCAUAGUACAUGACAAAUCGUGCAAUCCUGACAACAAAAAAUGAAUAUGUAGAUAGUUUUAAUGAAAAGAUGAUAAACAUAUUCCAUAAUAAAAGCAAUACUUAUACCAGUUUUGAUGAAACAAUAGAUAAUACAAAUAACUAUUACUAAGAGGAAUUUUUAAACACUUUAUUACUGAAUGGAUUGUCUUCGCACAAGCUGAAAUUAAAGGUAAAUUGUGCAAUGAUACUGUCAAGAAACCUAGAUCCUUCAAAUGACCUAUAUAAUAGAAAAUGAAAGGUGUAUAAAAGUUUUAGAAAAAAUAUAAUUCAUGCAAAGAUAACAGUAAAAUAACAUAUUGGUAAGCAAAUUCUAUUACUAUUGUUAUCUGCAGAAAAUAAAGGAUGCCCUUUUUAUUUUGAAAGAUGCAAUUUUCUAUUCGUCUAUGCUUUGCAAUGACGUUGAAUAAAGUUCAGAGAUAAAUAAUAUCAAAUUUUGAUGUGUAUUUGAUACAUGAUGUUUUCUUUCAUAAUUAAUUAUAUAUCACACUAGUAAGAGAAGUAUCAAUGUCAACUAUAAAAAUUAUUAUAAAGUCAAAUAAUAAAAGUAAAAAAAAGAAAAAAUAUACGUAAUAUAUAAAUAAGUCUCAUUACCAUAAAAGUUAAAGAAAAUAAAAUAUAUAUUUAAAUAUAAUAAAAUAUUUAGUAAUUAUAUUAAAAUAAUAUUAACUAUUAUAAUAAUUUUAAUAAUGCAGUAAACAUAUAUUCAGAAGUCAAUUGCUCGUUUACAAUAAUAACACGAAAGCAAAAAUCAUUAAAUGUGAUGUGAUUUUAUAUUUUAAUAUUAAUAUUAAUAUUUUAUUAUUUUUUAUGAUAAUUCUUCAACAAUUAUAUUAUAAAAAAAUGAAUGUAUUCAAUAUAAACAACGUGUAAAUCACGUUAGUUAAAACUAAUUAUUUUAUAAUUUAUUUAUUUAAUAAAAUAUAUAUUCAAAAAUAUUUUUUUAAAUGGAUAUUCAAAAAUAUUUAAAACUUAGUAUUAGUUUUUUACAUUUUAUUUAAAUUUUUUACUUUUAUUUUUUUUUUAUAUCGAAAUUAAAUUAACUAUUUAUAACUUAAAUUUAAUUAAAAUUAAAAUUAUAACUGUAAAAAUUAAAAAAACCACUUUAAAACUAAAUGAAAACCAUUAAAAAUCUAAAAUCAUUUAGAACUAUUUUAAAUCCGACUGAUUUUAAUACUAUUCAAAAAAUAAAUAAAACUUUCAUUUUCAAACUGAAACCAGACCAAUAGCGGCCAUGGCCGCGUGUAGUUAAACCUUACCGUACGUUGCCUGAAAGAGCAAUCAACGAAAAUAAUUGUAAGCUGACCGUUUACUCUGUUAAAUAGUGAGGUUAAUCACUAGAGAAGCUAGACCGUGUGGUUACUCAAAUUGGGUUGACGGAUCAUCUAUUUCUCUUUCUUGGUUGCGCCAUUGGUCGAUCGAAGCAAAAAAUUUGUUGCCUUCCUCAUAUUUUCUAUGUAAAUCAAGCUUCUAAUCAUCAAGGUAUUCUCUGGUUUAUGCUUUUUUGAUCCAUAUGCAUAUUGGGUUUUCUCUCAUUCUCAUUUGAUGGCUUCGAUUUGUGAAAUCCUCUUCUAAGCUGAUAUUCAAUGUUAGUUUGAAAAUGAUUCUUUCCUUUAGAAGAGAGGUGAACUUGGGCUCAAUGAUCAAUUGUGUUUCAGCUUAGAAAAUUGUGAACUUAGGCUCAAUCACCUAUGGCAUUUAGAAAAGAAGGUAUAUAAAAACGCAAUUUAGGAAAAAAAAACGAAGUUUCAAAAGGGGUUCGUAAGAUGCAUUUGCUGGUUUGGAAGAGGUAGAUUUUCCUUGCCGUGUAAAUGGGUGAACUCGAGUCUUAUAUAAUUAGGGGUAUUUAAAAAUGACCCAUAAUUUGCUUCAAUUUAUCCGUAGUUAAACUAAAAUUAUACAAGUGUUGAUAGAUUGGGUUGGGUUAUUAUUGUUAUUAUUAUUUUUUCAAAUCAAACUGCAAUUUACAGAUUGAAUUAUAUGUUUCUUAGUUAAAUCAAUAAUUUGACUCAAACCAAUUCUCAUUAUUCUCAAAUAAUGCUCUUACUCCUUUUCUUUUGUUUUAAUUUUAGUUACCCAAUUAAUGCUUCUCCAGUUUUUAAAAAGAAAUAUACAUCUAAUUGCUUUAGUAGCGAUCAUUUUAUUACUAGCUUUGCUUGAUGCAGCCAUUGAAAGCAUAUUACUCACUUGGUAGACUUAAGGUUGAGUUUCCACUCCCUUUAAUACCUUACACAAUCUUUUUUUUUUUUUUUAAAGAAAAAAACACAACGAAUUUAUAUAUAGAAGAUUUACAAUUUAGUCCCUAGAUAUUGUUAUUAUUAACAAGUCAGUCUUUGCAUUUUUUAAAAUUUGUUAAAAUAUUCUUAUCUUUUUUCUCCAUGAACGAAAUAGUAAAUAUAGCAAAAGACCAAAUUAUCCCUCUUCUUCUCCUCCUUCUUCUCCUUCUAGGGACUAUUUUUAUUGAUGGGGAGAAACGAUAAAGACGUUUUAAUAGAUAAAAAAAAAAGAUAAGGAUGUUUUAUUAGAUUUCUGAGAAUGUAGGGACUAACUUGUUAAUAAUGGCAAUACCCAAUGACUAAAUAAGGGAUCUUAUUUGAAGUCAAAAUUGAGUUUUAAAAUUUUUUUCUCUCAUCUUUCAUUUAUUUUUAAUGAAAAAGAGGACGGAAGAACUAUUUUGUUGACGGAGAGAAAAUAUAAGGACGUUUUAAUGAGUUUCUGAAAAUGGAAAAUGCAGAGACUGAUUUGUUAAUAAUGGUAAUACUCAGGGACUAAAUAGUAAAUCUACCUUUAUAUAUGUGUGUGUCUAUAUACACACAUCCCCCUUGUUGAUAGAGUUGGAAGAUACAAAUUCUUUUCAAGCAAUUUAUUUGUCUAUGAAUUUUUUUACAUUUAGAAAAUAAUUGUCAAAGUGCUCUGUCUCCCGUUUGAUUUGCAAACACCAAAUUGCUAUUUUCUCUUUCUAAUUUCCUUUGUUUGUGUGGUUCAUUGGUUAUUACAAUUGACUUCUUCUUUUAGUUUAUCAGGAGACGAGUGAGCCUCUUCAUCACCGAUAUUCUAACUGUCUAUCAUCAUGGCAUCUUCCUCCAUAGCUCGAAAACGGAAGUAUGAUGUGUUUCUUAGCUUUAGAGGAGAGGAUACCCGUGAUAAUUUUACUAGCCAUCUCUAUGAUGCUUUAUCUCGUAAAAAAAUCAAGACCUUCAUAGACAAUGACCUUGAAAGAGGGCAAGAAAUAGCCCCAGUCAUUUUGAGAACAAUUGAAGAAUCAAUGUUUUCUGUAAUCAUUUUCUCCAAAAAUUAUGCAUCUUCUCCAUGGUGCUUGGAUGAAAUGGUGAAAAUACUUGAGUGCAGGGAAGUUCAUGGUCAAGCAGUUUUACCAAUUUUUUAUUAUGUAGAUCCUUCCGAUGUUGAAGGUCAAAGUGGAAGUUUUGGAGAUGCAUUUAUUGAACUUGAGAAGAACUUCAAGGAUAAAAUGGAAAGGAUGCCCAAGUGGAGGGCUGACUUGAUGAAAGUUUCAAGGAUAUCUGGAUGGGAUUCCCGGGUUAUAAGGUAUGUGUCAAUUUCUUUUCAAAUGGCUCCAGAAACAUGUCUUUCUCUUUUAAGAAAGAUGAAAAGGGAAAAAAAAACUUGUUUUGAUAAUUUUUUUUAUAACUAGACAGUAAAACAAAAAACAGAAUAAAUAGCAAAUGGACCCUAAAAUAGCCUUUUUGCUAGAUAAAUCUUGGUCAUAGUUCAUGAAACCCACAUGAGUUGAACUAGCGAACAAGUGUAUUAAAUACUUGCUUGUAUAUGUUGUUAGGUUUACAUAAAUUGGCCUUAUUAUGUUUAUCCCAUCUCAACCAUUAAAUUCAAAUUUAGUGGUUGAGAUUCAUUGUGUAAUAUAUACCCAACCAUUUCCUUCUAUGAACCAAAAAGGUUUUCCUUCACCAAAAUAUCCGUUAGAGCUGUAGCUCUAACAGAGGGAAGGAAGAGAGAAUAGGAAAGAGGGUGGGAGAAGAAUAAGAAGAAGAAGAAGAGAAGAAGAGUGUUUGGAUAACAGAAGAGAAGGGAAUGAGAGAGAAUAAGCUCAGUUUGAAUUAGUAUUUCUGAAUGCCUUUCAUGUGUAUUCCACUGCGAUUAUAUUAGCCCUGUAACUAAUUUGACAGUUGUACUACCUCUAGCUAUUACAAACUUCUAGCUAUAACAACCCAUUCAACUAUAGUACUUUCCCUCCAAAAGUCUUUAUACAUUUUAUUCCCUCUUAUUUCUAUUUUUCUUCCUACAAUACGUGACAAUACUCCCCUGGUGGAGAACUUUCUUGAACCCAAAAAAGGGAGAUACCGGGAAACUGAGCAACAAUGAAUGACUUGUCUUCUCAAAUGGCAUCUUUAGGAGGAAGAUUGUAUGACUUAAUUAAUCCUUGUUUAACAUGUUCUCCUCCUCUGAGAAUAGUUCUAGUCUACAACACCCUCUCUAGAGCCACUAUGAAACUGUCAUCCUGAAUCUGUGGUAGUGUUGUGGAAAUACUAAUAGAGUCCCCAAUCCUUUUUCUUGAGUAAAAGGCACAUGGAAAACAAGAUGAAGUGAAGAUUUAGGUGGUAAUUCCAGCUUAUAAGAUGAAGGGCCAUAAUACUUGGCAGAUAGCUUUAAGGGUCGUUUGAGUGCUAAUAACGUUUGUCUAUAAGGUUGAAGCUUUAAAUAUGCCAAGUCCCCCACAAGAAAUUUCUUUCAGACCUCUUGGUAUCUUCCUGUUGUUUUUGUUACAUUCUGUUUUGAGCAAUUUCUAAAUUUUCUUUCAAGAGUUGCACUAGCCCUUACCUGUCUUGUAGAAAAUUAUCCACAACAUCUACCAUUGUGCCAUCUGUUAAUUCCAUUGAAAAACUCGUAGGAGGAUAUCCAUACAGUCCUUGAAAAGGAGACAUCUUAAGAGCACUGUGAGGAGUGGAAUUAUACCACCACUCAGCCAUAGGAAGCCAUUGAAUCCAAUUAGUGGGUUUCAAGUGAACCAGGCACUUUAAGUAAUUUUCUAAGUAUUGAUUAACCUUUUUAGUUUGCCCAUCAAAUUGAGGAUGAUAGGCUGGACCGAAGACUAGUUUGACUCCCAAGGAGUUAAACAGCUCUUGCCAAAACAAACUGGUAAAGGCCUUAUCCUUGUCAGAUACUAUGAUCUAGGGAAUGGCAUGCAACUUGUAAAUGUGAUCCAUGAAUAGUUUAGCCACUUUAGGAGCAGAGAAGGGACGAUUUAGAGGGAAAAAAUGGGCUAGUUUUGUAAGUAUGCAUAUCACCACUAAAAUAGUGUCCUCUUUUGACUUUGGAAGCCCUUCAAUGAAAUCCAUAGCUAUUUCUUGCCAUGCCUGGGUAGGAAUUGGCAAGGGUUGUAAUAAUCUUGGAUAGGCACAGUGUUCACUCUUGCAUCUUGCACAUACUUCACGGUUCACACUGUUUAACCCAUUCCAUGAGCUUCCUCAAUAUGCCAGGCCAAUAGAAAUGCUUCAUUGCUUCUUGAACUUCAAAUAAGUAGCAAAUAAGUAGCAUGGACCCAAGAAUGCCCUCCCACCGGGGAGUUGUGGUAAGUUUCCAGUAGCUGCUGUAGAAGCUCCAACAUACAUUCUGUUUUUAUAGAACAACACUCCAUUAUUCAGCUGGUAAUUACUGAGAGCUGUAGGGGCACUGGGGCAGUUGAUAAUUGUUGUAUCAAUUUAGUGGCCUUUAAAUCCCCCUCAUAACUGUGCUCCAAGUGUUGCUUCCAAGAUGGAACCACCACUGAUUGCAAGUGAUACAAUUGUUGCUCAAUAGAACUCAUAGACUUCCUAGAAAGUGCAUCUACUACCUUAUUCUCCACUCCCCUUUUAUAAAGAAUUUUAUCGUCAAGACCAAGCAGCUUUAUAAUUACUCUCUGCUGUAGAUUAGUAUGUAGUCUUUGUUCCAUGAGGUAUUUAAUACUUUCAUAGUCUGUUUUGAUAAAAAAAAUUGCAAUUCUUCUAAAUAAUGCCUCAAUUUGUCGACUGUAAAGGUAAUAGCUAGUAACUCCUUGUAAACAGACGAGCCUUGAUUUUUGGAUCCAGGCAUGGCAUUAUUGACACUGCUCUUCAUUUUGAGUCCCUUUAUGGCUACCCUCUACCUCCUCUCUCUUUUCAUCUCAAGAAGAAUGCAAUAUUGACAUUGCUCUUCAGUUUGCACAAAGAGAUAGCAAAUUUCACAACUCAUUAAAGACAACUUGCUUACUGUGCAAAACAAGAUGAAGCAGCAAAUAGAUAAGAAAAGAACAAAGAGGGAAUUCCAAGAAGGAGCUUGGAUGUAUUUGAAGAUCCAACUCUACAGACAAACCUUCCUAGCAGUCAGGAAGCACUUAAAGUUAUCUGCUAGAUACUCUGGCCCUUACCAAGUACUGUAGAAAAUUGGAGCAGUAGCCUAUAAACUCUCACUUCCUCCCAAUGCUCAGCUUCACUCUGUGUUCCAUAUUUCACUAUUCAAGGAAAAAGUGGGAGAGCGAAUACAGAUAAAUCAGAAGCUUCCAUCCUUUUACCAAGAAGAAGCCAUAAUUGCUCCUAAGAAAGUCUUAAAGUUCAGAGUCAUCGUUCGAGAUGGAAAGAGGGUUCCUCAAGGACUCAUUAAAUGGCUGAAUUUGUCAGAUGAGGAGGCAACCUGGGAAGACAAACCCUUUAUUUUGCACUAGUUUCCACAUUCAGCUCUGCUUGGGAACAAGAAGAAUCCCUUGGGGAUAGGGAUGUAAACGGGUAGGGUACCCGCAAAAUUGAGAGUACCUAAACCCGAACCCGAUUAUAUAUACAAUUCCCGAAUCCCGUCCCAAACCUGUUUAAUAUUUUAAUUUUAUUAUCCGAACCCGUCCCAAAUCCGUUUAACAAUACCCGCACAAUACCCGAACCCGAUUUUUUAAAUUCAAUUCAAUGACAAAAACUAGCAAAUAAACUACUUAACAUUUGCACAACCUAGCAAACCCAGCAGUAAAACCCAACAGUAAAAGGAGAAAUGUUCAAUGACAAGAACCAGCAACUCAGCAACCCAGCAAAUAAUGAUUUAUAACCAGAUAAUCAAAUUAAUUGUUCAUAAAUUCUAAAAAUCAACAAUAUUACAUUAAUCAAAUAGCAAAUAAUUAAAGUUUUUAAAAGUAUCUAAAUAAUCAAUUCAAUGACAAAAAUUACCAAAUAAACUACCUAACAGUAGAAUACUGUUAGGAGAAAUGUUCAAUAACAAGAAACAGCAAACCCAGCAAACCCAGCAGUAGAAAGUUCCAGUCAAAAAAUUUGAUUGCAAACCCAGCAAACCCAAACCCAGCAGUAGAAAGUUCCAGUCAAAAAAUUUGAUUGCAAACCUGAAGAAAGUUCCAGUCAAAGGAGAUGUCGCCGACAACGAUUGGGGAGAGGCAAGGGUCCAGCAUGAAGCGUCAAUUGAAAAGAGUAGAUGUCACCGACUGGAAGAGAGGAGAUAUCGCCGAUGCCGACCGGGGAGAGGGAAGAGUUGUCUCCGACUGGGAAGUGAGAGAUGCCGCCGCUGGAGAGAGAGAGAGAAGGAGAUAUCGCUGACUGGGGAGAGAGAAGAUUUAUCGUCGUCGUCGACUGGGGAGAGAAAGGAGACGUCGUCAGUCAGUGAAGUGGGAGAGAGAGGCCUUGACUGGGAAGUGGGAGAUGUCGCCGACUGGAGAGAGAAGGAGAUGUCGCCGACUGGAGAGAGAAGGAGAUAUCGCACUGUGGAGAGAGAAGAUUUAUCGGGGAGAGAAAGGAGACAUCGCCGGUGCCGACUGGGCUGCCGGGCGGCGUCGUCAGUGAAGUGGGGGAGAGGCGUCGACGAAGAGAGGAAAGGGAAGCGAGGGAGAGAGGCGCUGACGGAGAGAAGAAAGAGUAAAAUGAAAAAGGAAAUUAGGGUUAGUUUUGUUAAUAUAUAGGUAAUCGGGUUCGGGUAAUGGGUAUCCGAUCACCUAACCCCGAACCCUACCUGAAUCCGAAAUGGGUAAAAUUUUUCAAAUUCGAAUCUGCCCAAAUCUGUUUUGUAAAAACCCAAAUCCGUUCUAAUAGGGUUUGGGCGGAUCGGGUACCCGUAAAAACCCGCCCGCUUGACAUCCCUACUUGGGGAGAAGAAAAUUCUCUUGGGGAGGGUAUUGUAACGUACAACAGAAGGAAGAAGGGAGAAUAAGCUAUUGUAAUUGUUGUAACUGAAUAAAGGAAUUGGAGGAAAACAAAUAUUAGUUAGAAGGUAGUUAGUCUUGUACGCAUAUAAAAGGAGAGAGCUCUACUCUAUAAAGGCAUUCGAGAAUGAUCAAUAAUAUCUCUUUCUACCUUCUCACCUCUCUCUCUCUCUCUCUCUCUUUCUCACCCCUAUCUCUAGUUCUUUCCUCAUCACCUUUCUAAUUCUUCCCUCAUCUAAGUGUAUUCUCCUUCUAAUCCCCAAUUCUUCUUCUUUUCUCAUCUCUAUUUUCUAUUCCCAGCCAUUGUGCUAACACUGUACUACCCCUAUCUAUAACAAACUUCUAUCUAUAACAACCCCUAUAAAAUCCAUACAGCUAUAGUAUUUUCCCACCCAAAGUCUUUAUGUAUUUUAUUUCCUCUUAUUUAUAUAUUUCUUCUUAUAAUACGUGACAAUAUCUUUUGACCUUUUUUCUUAAUUCAAUAAAAGAUUCAAAUGUUCAACAUUCCAUAAUUUAAAACUAAAAUGUUUGAUUGGGAAGUAUUUAAAAGGGGAUUGUAAGUGUACUUCAGUUUAUUUGGAAUGAAAACAUUAAUUUUUAUUAAAGAAAAUAUGCUGUAAUAUUCCCGAUUUGUUUUAAACAUGAAAAAUGGGCCCUAAAAUGUUCAAUGGGUAGAAUUUAUGUUAACUAAUGGCUUGCGGAUAAUGAAAGACGGCAAAUUUUCCAAAAAAAGAAAACAUUUACUCAACUGAAGUAGUAUUUUAUUGCAGAAACACAAAUGAAGAACCUAGACAAAAAGAAGAUGUGAAUUUAAUGGGCCAAACAUGGAAAAAGAAAAAAAAAAAAAAAAGAAAAGGAUUGCAAAUUUGCCUCCUGGAAUAUCUAAUUAAAGUUUGGAGCUAAGAGUGCUAAUUCAGUGAGGGUUUAAAAAACGUGAUAUAAAAAACGGAUCAGGAUUUUACUGGAAAAAAAAUUUCAGUAUUAUAACUUUUGAUGCAGUUAAUUCUCUUGUUGUAAAAUUGUGUGUUUAUGAAAGAAAAUGUUGAUAUUAAAAACCUUUCAUUAUCUUUUUUUUUUCUUUACUGCACUUUUUGUCUCAAACUUCUAAUUUUUUUAGGCCUGAAGCUAAACUUGUGAAAGAAGUUGUGGAACAUAUUUUGAGGAAAUUGGAUCAUGCAUUCUCAGGAGAUUUGAAGGGUCUGAUUGGAAUAGACUCGCACAUUAGACAGAUCAAAAAUUUAUUAUGCAUUGGGUUGCCAAAUGUUCGUAUUGUAGGAAUUUGGGGUAUGGCUGGCAUAGGUAAAACGACUAUUGCUAGAGCUAUUUUCAACACUAUCUCAAAUCAAUUUGAAGCUUGCACUUUUCUUGAGAAUGUAAACGAAGAAUCAAAGCAAUUUGAAGGGCUACGCCGUUUAAGAGAAAAGAUUCUUUCUGAAUUACUGGAGGAAGAAAAUCUACAUAUUGUCACUUCCAACAUAGAAUCUGUUUCCGUUAAGGAAAGGAUCCGCCACAAAAGGGUUUUGCUUGUCCUUGAUGAUUUGAAUGAUGUGGAUCAGCUGGAAGUCCUCAUUGGAGGAUGCGAUUUUGCUUUGGGAAGUAGAGUUAUAGUGACAUCUAGAGAUAGGCAAGUUCUAAAGAAUGGAGUUGAUGAAAUAUAUGAAGUUGAGGGAUUAAAUGAUGAUGAAGCUCUUCAACUGUUCAGUUCCAAUGCUUUUAAGAAAAGUUACCCCACUUUUGAUAGAUUGGAGCUAUCAAAUAGGGUGGUGAACUAUGCUCAGGGAAACCCCUUAGCUCUUAAAGUUUUGGGUUCUUUCUUAUUUGACAGAAGGAGAGAAGAUUGGGAAAACACACUGGAUAAACUUGGAAGAAUUCCUCAGCCUAAAGUUUUUCAUGUGCUGAGAACAUGUUUUGACACGCUUGAUGAUGAUGAGAAAAAUAUAUUUCUGGAUAUUGCAUGUUUUUUCAAGGGGCAACAAAUUGAUUUUGUAAGGAGAGUACUAGAUGGUUGUGGUUUCUCAGCAGGAAUUGGAAUUACUGUUCUUCUUGAUAAAUCUCUUAUUACUAUCCUAGAUAACAACCUGGGAAUGCAUAAACUGUUGCAAGAAAUGGCUCAUGAAAUUGUUCGCCAAGAAUCUGUUAAAGAGCUGGGCAAGCGCAGUAGAUUGUGGAGAGCUUGUG